ACAGCAGUCGCCGCGGUAAUACGAGGGGAGCUAGCGUUGUUCGGAAUUACUGGGCGUAAAGCGCGCGUAGGCGGCUUUUUAAGUCGGAGGUGAAAGCCCGGGGCUCAACCCCGGAAUUGCCUUUGAAACUGGAAAGCUAGAAUCUUGGAGAGGUCAGUGGAAUUCCGAGUGUAGAGGUGAAAUUCGUAGAUAUUCGGAAGAACACCAGUGGCGAAGGCGACUGACUGGACAAGUAUUGACGCUGAGGUGCGAAAGCGUGGGGAGCAAACAGGAUUAGAUACCCCUGUAGUCCCUGUCUCUUAUAC
RNAcentral lists this ribosomal RNA (305 nucleotides) under uncultured bacterium. Its description in RNAcentral is "partial 16S ribosomal RNA". It matches the Rfam family "Bacterial small subunit ribosomal RNA", at positions 508 to 807 of the family's 1533-position model. The record is from RNAcentral.